Molecule: ribosomal RNA, 1470 nt
Filed under: Escherichia coli
Lineage: Bacteria; Pseudomonadati; Pseudomonadota; Gammaproteobacteria; Enterobacterales; Enterobacteriaceae
Description: bacterial LSU rRNA
Rfam family: Bacterial large subunit ribosomal RNA
Source: RNAcentral
CUAUGUUGGCCGGGCGACGGUUGUCCCGGUUUAAGCGUGUAGGCUGGUUUUCCAGGCAAAUCCGGAAAACCAAGGCUGAGGCGUGAUGACGAGGCACUACGGUGCUGAAGUGACAAAUGCCCUGCUUCCAGGAAAAGCCUCUAAGCAUCAGGUAACAUCAAAUCGUACCCCAAACCGACACAGGUGGUCAGGUAGAGAAUACCAAGGCGCUUGAGAGAACUCGGGUGAAGGAACUAGGCAAAAUGGUGCCGUAACUUCGGGAGAAGGCACGCUGAUAUGUAGGUGAAGCGACUUGCUCGUGGAGCUGAAAUCAGUCGAAGAUACCAGCUGGCUGCAACUGUUUAUUAAAAACACAGCACUGUGCAAACACGAAAGUGGACGUAUACGGUGUGACGCCUGCCCGGUGCCGGAAGGUUAAUUGAUGGGGUUAGCGGUAACGCGAAGCUCUUGAUCGAAGCCCCGGUAAACGGCGGCCGUAACUAUAACGGUCCUAAGGUAGCGAAAUUCCUUGUCGGGUAAGUUCCGACCUGCACGAAUGGCGUAAUGAUGGCCAGGCUGUCUCCGCCCGAGACUCAGUGAAAUUGAACUCGCUGUGAAGAUGCAGUGUACCCGCGGCAAGACGGAAAGACCCCGUGAACCUUUACUAUAGCUUGACACUGAACAUUGAGCCUUGAUGUGUAGGAUAGGUGGGAGGCUUUGAAGUGUGGACGCCAGUCUGCAUGGAGCCGACCUUGAAAUACCACCCUUUAAUGUUUGAUGUUCUAACGUUGGCCCGUAAUCCGGGUUGCGGACAGUGUCUGGUGGGUAGUUUGACUGGGGCGGUCUCCUCCUAAAGAGUAACGGAGGAGCACGAAGGUUGGCUAAUCCUGGUCGGACAUCAGGAGGUUAGUGCAAUGGCAUAAGCCAGCUUGACUGCGAGCGUGACGGCGCGAGCAGGUGCGAAAGCAGGUCAUAGUGAUCCGGUGGUUCUGAAUGGAAGGGCCAUCGCUCAACGGAUAAAAGGUACUCCGGGGAUAACAGGCUGAUACCGCCCAAGAGUUCAUAUCGACGGCGGUGUUUGGCACCUCGAUGUCGGCUCAUCACAUCCUGGGGCUGAAGUAGGUCCCAAGGGUAUGGCUGUUCGCCAUUUAAAGUGGUACGCGAGCUGGGUUUAGAACGUCGUGAGACAGUUCGGUCCCUAUCUGCCGUGGGCGCUGGAGAACUGAGGGGGGCUGCUCCUAGUACGAGAGGACCGGAGUGGACGCAUCACUGGUGUUCGGGUUGUCAUGCCAAUGGCACUGCCCGGUAGCUAAAUGCGGAAGAGAUAAGUGCUGAAAGCAUCUAAGCACGAAACUUGCCCCGAGAUGAGUUCUCCCUGAGACUUUAAGUCUCCUGAAGGAACGUUGAAGACGACGACGUUGAUAGGCCGGGUGUGUAAGCGCAGCGAUGCGUUGAGCUAACCGGUACUAAUGAACCGUGAGGCUUAACCUU